Molecule: ribosomal RNA, 310 nt
Filed under: uncultured Neptunomonas sp.
Lineage: Bacteria; Pseudomonadati; Pseudomonadota; Gammaproteobacteria; Oceanospirillales; Oceanospirillaceae
Description: bacterial SSU rRNA
Rfam family: Bacterial small subunit ribosomal RNA
Source: RNAcentral
AUUGAACGCUGGCGGCAGGCUUAACACAUGCAAGUCGAGCGGUAACAGAGAGUAGCUUGCUACUUUGCUGACGAGCGGCGGACGGGUGAGUAACGCGUAGGAAUCUGCCUGGUAGUGGGGGAUAGCCCAGAGAAAUUUGGAUUAAUACCGCAUACGCCCUACGGGGGAAAGGAGGGGAUCUUCGGACCUUUCGCUAUCAGAUGAGCCUGCGUGAGAUUAGCUUGUUGGUGAGGUAAAGGCUCACCAAGGCGACGAUCUCUAGCUGGUCUGAGAGGAUGAUCAGCCACACUGGGACUGAGACACGGCCCAG